Molecule: ribosomal RNA, 293 nt
Filed under: uncultured bacterium
Lineage: Bacteria
Description: partial 16S ribosomal RNA
Rfam family: Bacterial small subunit ribosomal RNA
Source: RNAcentral
GGAUUAGAUACCCUGGUAGUCCACGCCGUAAACGAUGUCUACUAGCCGUUGGGGUACUUGAUACCUUAGUGGCGCAGCUAACGCACUAAGUAGACCGCCUGGGGAGUACGGCCGCAAGGUUAAAACUCAAAUGAAUUGACGGGGGCCCGCACAAGCGGUGGAGCAUGUGGUUUAAUUCGAUGCAACGCGAAGAACCUUACCAGGUCUUGACAUCCUCGGAACUUAGCAGAGAUGCUUUGGUGCCUUCGGGAACCGAGUGACAGGUGCUGCAUGGCUGUCGUCAGCUCGUGCCG